This 301-nucleotide ribosomal RNA is filed under the name uncultured bacterium. RNAcentral describes it as "partial 16S ribosomal RNA". It matches the Rfam family "Bacterial small subunit ribosomal RNA", at positions 509 to 807 of the family's 1533-position model. The record is from RNAcentral.
CAGUAGCCGCGGGAAUACGGAGGGAGCUAGCGUUGUUCGGAAUUACUGGGCGUAAAGCGCACGUAGGCGGUUAUUCAAGUCAGAGGUGAAAGCCCGGGGCUCAACCCCGGAACUGCCUUUGAAACUAGAUGACUGGAAUCUUGGAGAGGUCAGUGGAAUUCCGAGUGUAGAGGUGAAAUUCGUAGAUAUUCGGAAGAACACCAGUGGCGAAGGCGACUGACUGGACAAGUAUUGACGCUGAGGUGCGAAAGCGUGGGGAGCAAACAGGAUUAGAUACCCCCGUAGUCCCUGUCUCUUAUAC